UGGGGAAUUUUGGACAAUGGGCGAAAGCCUGAUCCAGCAAUGCCGCGUGUGUGAAGAAGGCCUUCGGGUUGUAAAGCACUUUUGUCCGGAAAGAAAUCCUUGGCUCUAAUACAGUCGGGGGAUGACGGUACCGGAAGAAUAAGCACCGGCUAACUACGUGCCAGCAGCCGCGGUAAUACGUAGGGUGCAAGCGUUAAUCGGAAUUACUGGGCGUAAAGCGUGCGCAGGCGGUUUGCUAAGACCGAUGUGAAAUCCCCGGGCUCAACCUGGGAACUGCAUUGGUGACUGGCAGGCUAGAGUAUGGCAGAGGGGGGUAGAAUUCCACGUGUAGCAGUGAAAUGCGUAGAGAUGUGGAGGAAUACCGAUGGCGAAGGCAGCCCCCUGGGCCAAUACUGACGCUCAUGCACGAAAGCGUGGGGGAGCAAAACAGGAUUAGAUACCCUGGUAGUCCACGCCCUAAAACGAUGUCAACUAGUUGUUGGGGAUUCAUUUCCUUAGUAACGUAGCUAACGCGUGAAGUUGACCGCCUGGGGAGUACGGUCGCAAGAUUAAAACUCAAAUGAAUUGACGGGG
RNAcentral lists this ribosomal RNA (573 nucleotides) under uncultured bacterium. Its description in RNAcentral is "partial 16S ribosomal RNA". It matches the Rfam family "Bacterial small subunit ribosomal RNA", at positions 355 to 918 of the family's 1533-position model. The record is from RNAcentral.